Molecule: long non-coding RNA, 271 nt
Filed under: Eucalyptus grandis
Lineage: Eukaryota; Viridiplantae; Streptophyta; Magnoliopsida; Myrtales; Myrtaceae
Description: long non-coding RNA (EGRA_LNC003099)
Source: RNAcentral
GGGCAGUAGCGUCGUCGCGGGCAGAUCGGUGUUCCGGUGCAGCUGAGCGGCAAUGCUCAGAGACGCCGAGCAGGGGCUCGGAUGCGUGGCAACGGCGGACGAGGUCGCGAUCAGCAGGGCAAGCUCCUGUGGAUCGGGUAGGGGUGCAGAUCCAGCUCAGGUGACCGUGGAGGCACGGCGGAUCUGGGUGGCGCGGCGAGGCACAGUGGCGACGUCCGGCAGGCAGGAGACGGAGCGCGGACAGACGGCAGCAAGUCGCCGGAGAAGAAGA